UAAAAAAAAAUUAGCCUCGUAGCACAAACUGAAAAAGUUUAAGAACCAAAGCCGCUCCUCUCAACUUUGACUUUUUGUUUUGCUGUUUAAUGUAGAAUUUUGGAUUACCUCUGGAUUCACUGUAAUGAAGAAUCAUCUGCUGUAGUGACAUCUACAAGAACUAACUUGACUUGGAAAUAACUUACUGGCUUAUGGGGAGUCAUCUACAACUAUAACUUUGGAGGGUUUAAGAAUAUUGGCUGCUGUGAUUUAGUCGUCCCUUGAGGAGAGAAGGCAAGUCAAGAAGGAUUUCAGGGUGUUGUUCCAUUUCAAUUUACCAGGUUUUUCUUCAUUUAUGAGAUGUGAGCUUCAGCUGAUUUGUAAUAGGUUGUAGAAGAGUAAUCACUUGUAUUUCUGCUAGAAAGCAUUCUGCAGG
Molecule: long non-coding RNA, 415 nt
Organism: Cervus elaphus (red deer)
Lineage: Eukaryota; Metazoa; Chordata; Mammalia; Artiodactyla; Cervidae
Exons: 3
Source: RefSeq, a predicted model, not a curated record